This 460-nucleotide ribosomal RNA is filed under the name uncultured bacterium. RNAcentral describes it as "partial 16S ribosomal RNA". It matches the Rfam family "Bacterial small subunit ribosomal RNA", at positions 338 to 795 of the family's 1533-position model. The record is from RNAcentral.
CCUACGGGAGGCUGCAGUGAGGAAUAUUGGUCAAUGGACGCGAGUCUGAACCAGCCAAGUCGCGUGAAGGAAGACUGCUCUAUGGGUUGUAAACUUCUUUUAUAUGGGAAUAAACUCAUCCACGCGUGGCAUUCUGUAUGUACCAUACGAAUAAGGAUCGGCUAACUCCGUGCCAGCAGCCGCGGUAAUACGGAGGAUUCGAGCGUUAUCCGGAUUUAUUGGGUUUAAAGGGUGCGUAGGCGGAUUGAUAAGUCAGUUGUGAAAGUUUGAGGCUCAACCUUGAAAUUGCAGUUGAAACUGUCAGGCUAGAGUACAGUAGAGGUAGGCGGAAUGCAUGGUGUAGCGGUGAAAUGCUUAGAUAUCACGAAGAACACCGAUUGCGAAGGCAGCUCACUGGACUGCAACUGACACUGAGGCACGAAAGUGUGGGGAGCAAACAGGAUUAGAUACCCUGGUAGUC